AAGUCGUAACAAGGUUUCCGUAGGUGAACCUGCGGAAGGAUCAUUAGAGAACCUGGGCCUGCGCUUCUAGCGCGGCUCCAACCAAUACACAGUGUAUUUUGCUUCUUUUGCUUUGGCUCUGCCAAAGGUUUUAAACACAGAAAUUUAUUUUCUCUAGAAACUAGUCAAUUUGAAUUUUAAUCUUCAAAACUUUCAACAACGGAUCUCUUGGUUCUC
Molecule: unclassified non-coding RNA, 216 nt
Filed under: Williopsis jadinii
Lineage: Eukaryota; Fungi; Ascomycota; Saccharomycetes; Phaffomycetales; Wickerhamomycetaceae
Description: Cyberlindnera jadinii partial internal transcribed spacer region
Rfam family: Eukaryotic small subunit ribosomal RNA (bases 1-46)
Source: RNAcentral